Molecule: ribosomal RNA, 252 nt
Filed under: uncultured bacterium
Lineage: Bacteria
Description: partial 16S ribosomal RNA
Rfam family: Bacterial small subunit ribosomal RNA
Source: RNAcentral
UACGUAGGGGGCUAGCGUUGUCCGGAAUCAUUGGCGUAAAGAGCGUGUAGGCGGCUCGGUAAGUCCGCUGUAAAAGUCAAAGGCUCAACCUUUGAAUGUCAGUGGAUACUGCCGGGCUAGAGUCCGGAAGAGGCGAGUGGAACUCCUGGUGUAGCGGUGGAAUGCGCAGAUAUCAGGAAGAACACCAACGGCGAAGGCAGCUCGCUGGGCCGAUACUGACGCUGAGGAGCGAAAGCGUGGGGAGCGAACAGG